Cyanistes caeruleus (blue tit) is the source of this 6709-nucleotide non-coding RNA. NCBI's taxonomy places the organism in Eukaryota, Metazoa, Chordata, Aves, Passeriformes, Paridae. The record is from RefSeq and is a predicted model, not a curated record.
CAAGGAGGAAGGGAGAUCAGAGCCUGCAGGGGAGGCUGGAGAGAAGGGGCGGCCCGGCUGUGCUUGGGGAUAGCCGGGAUAGGAGGGACGCUGGCCCUGUGCCCUCCGGAGGUGCCGGGCGCUUCCAGCGCCUCUCCUACGCUUCCACACUACAGUCCAGCUCGGGCUUCUACAUUUCAAUGUUGUAAAAAAGCGCUCCAAAUGAUGGGAAAUUCCUGUUAUGCCCUGUUUUACGGCGUGCAGUGACGCUGUGAAGCAAACAAUAACUCGCGUGUUCCUCGUUAGCAGCUGAAGCUCUGAUUGAAAUGUUAAUAGCUCAUCAGGCCUUGGCAAGAACACGGAUAAUAUUUAACUUAGCGAUACUGCAGAAACCCUACAGAGCUAGAAUUAGGAAAUAAUUUGCAAGGCAAUGGGUUAGAAGGUUUUAAUCAUUUGGAUAUUUCUUAAGGUGAUUGCUAUUGAUGGAAGAUGAACUGCAGCAAGGUGAAGUCUGUGGUUUGAUCUGAAGCCUUUGAGCUUUGUUAUUCUAAUCUCUUCUGGCAUGGAGUACUGCAGCCAUGAGCAGGUUAAAAAAAGGAAAAAGAAAAAGCCUUGUGACCUUUCUUUGGAAGUGGAGAGUGUCACUGAACCAGGAAAGGCAGCAUCUGUGGGGUAUGAAAUGGUAUCAGAGGGUAUGAGAUGGUUAGAAAUAGUAAAAUAAUAAAUUGGCAGAUGCAUAGGCAUUUUAUUUGUUGCACGAUAAGAGUGGGAGAGAGUCAGGGAACGUGGUUGCCACAAGUCCGUGAUAAUAAUAGUUUAAAAAAAUAAAAAUAUUACCUAUGGAUUUGGGGGAAAGAUCUUUAUUUCUGAGCUUAGGAUACUUUCUAUGCAAGUCCAGCUUCUAACAUCUUCAGCCAAGAGUCAUGAAAGCUAUGCAGAAAGACUUCUCGUUUCAAUUUCUCUUCAGCUUUUACCACUGUGAGAAUUAUGCAUCUUUAAUUUCUUUGCAGAACUUCCCUUAAAAACAGCUCCUCAAUAUUAGGAUUACUGAAGUGUUACCUGGGGCUGUGUGGGGAGUGGGACUAGAAGAGAUCUGAAGGCUGCCCAGCCUUGGAGUUUCCUCAACUGCACAGUGCAAGAGAGAAUUUAUUUGAGACAUGAGUUUGGUUUGAGUCAUUUAGUGUUACCUCAGGGCUUGGCUUUCAAGAAGGCAUUUACAGACAAAGUGCUGGUUCUGGGGGCUCUGGGGAAGAGCUGGAGUUUGCAUUUCUGAGUUUUAUUACCCACAUGUUUCAGUUGCCCCUAAGAACUUUGGCUAAUUGCGUCGUAUUGUUGAUUAUUAAAGCCAAAGAAAAACCCCAAGGAAGACAAUGUACUGGAGUGCCUCACAGAAACUGUGCCUUCUGCUGCUGAAACAGAAAAAUCAGUUGGAUGUACAAGAAAGAAAUACCUCCAUGGAGAUACAGAUGGAAGUGCUUUGUACAGAGCCUCAUCUGUCCCAUUCCAUGGAUUUCAAGUGUAUAGGACUUGUAGCAAGUUGGAUAUUGGAAGAAUUACAUAAAUUAGGUGAGCAGAGUGCAUCUGCUGGAGAGCAGCAGCUUAUCCCAUUUUCCAGGGCGUGUUAUCUGGCUGCCAGGGGCAGAAGGGACUCCACUCUCACUCUCCCAGCUCACUGAUGUGAUGGAGCCCGUGUUCAGGUGACACAGGAUCACUUGUUCUGAGAUCUGAGCCCAGCAAUCGCAGACUCCUCACACCACCCCACUAACUCUCCUCACUGCUGCCAUUGGCCUUCCAGCAGCUUGCAGGUUGGAGUGAGGGGUUCAGUAGGGGGUUUUGCCACCACAGCCAGCACUGGGGAGAAUAGAGGUGCUGCUGUGGUGCUUCCCUCUUGCUGUGUGCUACUUCCUUUCUAUUUUCUCAGGUGCCACCUCCUCAGGCUCAUCGCAGAGGCUCUGUUUGGAGCAGAGGAAGAACUGGACGUGGCUGCUGAGCUGUAUCUCCCUGAAUAUCUGGAUACAGCUGCCACACCAGUAGGUGUGACCUCAGGAAGGCAUAAAAUCCAGAGCUGAGAGACGAGGAGUGGAGCUUUUCACAGCUUCAUGAACAGGUUAAAUGAUAGCAGCGUAAGCGGGGCUGCUCCUGCUCUUACUUGGAGGAGACACUGUAGGAUUCCAGUGUGUGCAUGGUUUUCAUUAGGCUCUGUAACUCUUAAUAGUUGAUUUUUAUGAAAGCACCAUGAGUUAUUUAUUAAGCAGUUCGUAUUUGUGGACUAUGGGAUUUUUACUUGUGCUUUAAUGUUAAGAUUAAAAAAUAACCAAUUUGGCAACUAUGCUUUUAUAGAAUUUUCAUUAUCAAAUGAUGCUGUGUGUAAUUGUGAGUUAUUUUGUGACUGAAUCACAGAUUACCUCACAGUAGAGCUCAGAGCUGGGGGCUAUGCUGUCAUUGCACCCCCUGCAUGUCUUGCUCAUGCUUUUUAACCUUGAAAAACUUGCCAAAUAUAUCAAGUGUGUGAAAUGUUAGAUUUUGUAGGAAACAAAGACAGGGAAUGAGGUGAAAUAAGUAGUACACAAAAUUGUGAUUUCAAAUUAGUUUGGCAAUGGAAGGCAGACAGUGAGACAUUACCACUGCACAAAGCUUUUUGCCCUGGCUUUUUCUGUCCAGUCUUAGCUCUACCUUCUGGAGAGGAGUGAAAGCCACACGUGCUCUCAGCUGAAGGGGUCAGAAGUCAGCCAUGAGCUUUUGUUUUCGAUAGCCUGCAGGGAGAAAGGCUGACUGGACAGCCUUGGGGAUAAACCGCUGUCUCCAAAAUGAAGGAGCUUUGGGGAUCUUGGCAGACCAGGAUUAUCACUCUGUUUGUUGGUGGUUAGGGCUCUUGGGGUUUUAUUGUCUUAGGGCUGGGGUUUUUGGGGGUGGUGACUGUGAUGUUUUCUUAGCCAGUUCCUGGUACUGGCCCCUCAGAGCUCAGUGUCUGUUCGCAAGUGUUUGCCCUGAUGAUUCUCUGCGAGGUUUUCUGGAGUUCUGCUGGUUUGCAUAUGCCCACGGUGGGCUGGCAAACGGGGCUCUGAGGCUCACGGGGUGAAGCUAAUCCGUGCUCCUGCACUCUUGGCAGAAUUCCUGGCAGGACUUUAGGCCAUGAGGGGAGUUGGAUGGAGGACAAGGGUCGGGGGGAGGUUGGAAAUUGCAUUUAAGGCUCUGCUGGGAGUCUUAAUACUGGUAAUGUGUUCACUCUGAUAAAGUAGGAAAAAGUGCUUGCUGGGAAAGCUGACAAGAGACAGCCAGAUCCAUUUUGGAGCUAGGGUUAGAAGGCUCCUUCCUGACACUUUGCUUGGCUGGACAGCCUUAGUUUACUAUUUUAGAGCAAACAACAAAGCAGCUCAGCAUUGUGGUGCCAGAGUAGCAAUAGAGCACUUCCUGUACUUGAAAUUCAAUUUUACAUUCCCUGCAGAAAUACACAUGGUUUUCACUGAAAUAAAUAGAGUUUAGCAUGUUUGGUAUUAAUAUUACUGGCUCCUUGCUGUUUGUAUGCGUUUUUGUGCCAGAAUACUUUUAUAUGAGAAAAAUAUGUCCUGAAAGCUUUUGUAGGGAUGAAACAUCAUUCAGUUUACUUGGAAAAUGCCUCCAGAAGGUCUCAAGUGGUGCUGUGUAUUAAUCUAUAAUAGGAUGGAGUGAUUCAAACUGACCUUCACAAAGUGUUUAGCUGAGUGAACACUUUCUGUGGUAGGGUUUUCAUUUGUAAAUCCAGGGUGCCAGAGGGAAUAAUGGAUGGGAAAAAGAAGUACUUCCAGAGUAGCAAACUCUGAAGCUGAACCGACAUGAAGGAAUGAGAUAAGGGUUGAGCAAAAGGUGCAAAUGAAUUAAGUGGGUUUUUCUGCCAGGCCUUCACUGUUCACCACAAAAUACAUGAGUGAGGAGGUCUGGCACUAAGAAGUCACAACAGGGAGCUUGGAAAGAGAAGGUGACAGUUUGUGACAGGCUGGGUGGCGUUUGGGUUGGUUAGGAGCAAGUGACUGGAGAUACACAGGGCAAGGGUUAUUUUUUUUCAGGUGCAUAUUGAGUGAAGUGUAAAGUUGAUGGCACACAGCCACAAGAUAAUCACCAACAUCUCAAUUGCAGGUCUGCAUCUCUGGGUGUGCACAGGCAUAGAGAGCUGGCAGAUAAAAGGGCUGAGAGAUUUGUUAUCAAGGCCCACUCGAGCACUUGCUGCUCCUCAGGGCUCGGCCAGUCCCUUGCAUAAGGCUCUGUGAGUCUAACGCCAGUGCUGCCAGUACAAAGGACACUGGGGCUCUAAGGGUGACAGCAGAUCCCAGAGCAAGCUGCCUGGGCUGCUGAGGAGGCAGGCUGGGUGGCAGAGCACCAGGAGGACUGCAAACUGAAGUACAGCUCUGAGGCAUCAAUAUCAAAGGCAGUAGCAGCUCACUUCGCCUUCAAACCCCCACUUUGUGCAGAAGCAGCUGUGUGAUAUCGUGCUAGUCGCUGACUGCAUCCUAUGGAUCCAGAUCGUUCCAAUCAGCAGUAACUGAGCCCAGUACAGUUCAUUUGUUCCAUUCCCCUAUGUGGGCACACCCUGGAACAGAAGCAACUCUUUGAUUUUCAAAUCAGCAGCUCUCUUAUGAGAUUUUAUAUACAGGACACUUUCAGAAUUUCUCAUAUGCUGUUCCUCUUAUACUUUUUCCAUGUCAGGGAAAUUUUGUUUUAACAUGCUUUCACCUUUUCUGCUCAUAAUGUGGUAUAUCAUAACAAAUCUUGUUUAUUUCUGAAAUAUUUCUUGCCUGCCAUUAUUUCUGAGGAUUUUUUCCCCAUUUUUAUCCUUUGAAUCAAAGCAAUUUAUGUUGGUCUUUACUGCAAACCAUCACUGUUAUUUUUGUUAAGGUUUGGUAGACUUUUUUAUUGCUUUGUGGAGGUGGGCAUUUCAAUUACGUAGUUUUAGGAUUAGCCAAAAUGACAGAGAAAUUUGGAAGCAACAAGGCCUGUUUGGAUCCACAUCAGCCUAAUAAAAAAAUCUGUAGAAAUACCAUGUGCCUCAUUUGUAGGAAAAAGUACUGAAUUUAAUUUCCCCUGUAGCUGAACGGUCACCCUCAAGCUGUCCACCCCUAUGCAUAUACACAUACAUAUAUAUAUAUAAAAUCCUCAUGGGGGCACUCUUGGUUUGAGCACAAUGUAGAGGAGGUGCUGCUUCAUCUUGAUUUUCCUUUGUAGUAGCCUGACAAAAAAAGCUUAAGGAGCUCCUAGGGUGUCUUUCAAGUCACAGUUAAAAAUAAGCUAAAAUAAGUGUUACAUAAGGCAAAGGAGCUUCAAUUCUGUAAUUCUGGUAUAAAGCAAAUCUAGUUAUAUAAUACCUACUGAUAGAAUUUUGACUUUCACUUAAAAUAGGGUCAUAGUAGGAAAGGUCAUUAUUUAGAAAUUUGGGGGUUAGUUGACUUGCCUGUCUCAUUGCUUUUCGUAUUUCUUUUGCAACCAUUACUUUUUUGGCGUGUAAAAGGAGGGGGGAAAUAAACUGUCACUGUAUGUGAUGUUGUGGCUUUCCUGCUGUUACAGGUUAUGAAGUACAACCCAUGGUGAUGGGGAAAUCCGAGAUACCUGUGGCAAGAAUUCAUCUGGUAAUUUGGAGGAAGCUUACUGCUUGUGUCCAUUUCCCAAGCCGACAAUAAUUGAACUGAAAUUAUUUCUACAUUUGUAUACUGUUAACCUUCCUGACCAGUUGGAGUUGUCUUUGUUAUCAUUCUUAACAAGCACAAUUUUUACUUGUUCAAAGAGCAGACAUAUAAAUACAUUAUCUAUCAUAACAACGCCAUCACAAAGCAGCCCAAGAAAAAUUAGCAGGUAUACAUUAAACACCUAUUUUUGCUGUUUUUGUCUUGCUGCAAGAACAUUUAGUAGGUAAAACUGAACUGUGUCCUGGGCUCUUGAGUGAGGAAUUCCUUGGAAGAAACAAGCCUUGUAUUCUUCACAAGAAGGAUUAGCAGUUCCUAAAUGCCUGACUAAUUUCUUCAACACAGUCCAUGUCGCUGGUACAAAGGGAACUGCAGAACUCCCAAUACUUCACUGUUCUCUGCUUCCACUUAACUGCAUCAGGACAGAAGCAGUAAAAGAAAGAACUAGACAGGGCAGAAGAUCUGAGCUCGGAGCAGUUAUGAAGUCAAGUCAAUCUGAAUCAUUUGCAAUGUGUAUUUCCACUCAGUGUGGAAGGAUCAGCUCUGAAAUGUUAAAAAAAGCCUCACGAGCAGGAAGCAUGUCAGUCGUCUUUUUAAUGGAAGUGUGGAUGAACUGGGGGAAGUCUCCAGGGAGCAGAGGGGGGAAAUUUGAGUCAGAGGUUACUCGUGGGCUAUUUCCACUAGGAGAACACCAGCCCUCUGCAGCAGCCUCUGCUUUCCUGCCAGCAGCUCCGUGUCCUCUGUGCUCCACAGGCACCCAGGCUGGGAGCUGCAGCUCCAGCAGGGAUCUCAGCAGAGGCAGGAGACCUCUCCAUGCUUCGGGAUAAUGAUUAUUAUUACUGCCAACACCCCUUUUGGGUGACUGUCAGCCUCAACUGUAGCACAAAAUUGGCUGUCCUCGUUCGUUAAUUAAUUUUGUUUGUAAAAUACUCCUCUGAGGGAGAGGGAAUAAAUGUUACCAUUAAGGACUUAAAUAGGCUUUCAGAUGAAAUACCAUAACCAGCUGCAGGUCAGCAACAAACCAUUCUUUGUUAAGGUGUUUUCCUUUUGCAGAGAUACAGCCUGAAUUAGCUGAAUAA